This is a long non-coding RNA of Perca flavescens (yellow perch), 999 nucleotides long. RefSeq lists it as uncharacterized. Lineage: Eukaryota; Metazoa; Chordata; Actinopteri; Perciformes; Percidae. The record is from RefSeq and is a predicted model, not a curated record. The transcript is spliced from 3 exons.
GUUGGAUGCGGUCGGUGUCACACAGCUUCAAAAUUGCGUAUGGACUGCGGAAAAGAAACACUUAGCUAGCCUACUUGGGUUAUUUUGAAGCCAGUUAACGUUAUACUUUGGUGUUACAAAAAUACAAGAUAAAGUUAACAUUUUAAUGAAACAAGCGGGAGUUAGCUUGUUUUUCAGUGUUGCUAAUGAUAACAGCUAAUUUUUUUGCAAGAGUAGUAAGCUAGCAGCUAUAAAGACAGGACAUGAGGGCUUCUGUCAGCAAGCAAGCAAACAACAAGUGCAGUGGGAUAAUGGCUGAUGGACUUUGAUAAUUUCGUCUUCAAAUGGACCACAUAAUCUCCAUGGGGAAAAUGAGAAUGGACUUUGACAUCAAAUAACCCGAAUGCUGCGCAUCGUGAGCAGUGGUCUGGUUUGUUGACGUCACUCCUCCCUCUCUCCAUCUGCGUUUCCUCAUCAGGAGACCGUAGUUAAAGAAUAGAGAUUGCCAGAUGAUAAUGUUUCUGUGGAAACACAAAUCAACAUGUACUUGAGAAGAACUAUGAAGUUAAUCCAGUCCUCCGUCUCUCCAUGUGAGAUUGACGGACAGAGGUGAAGAGCUUGAAGGCACCAAACAGAUUGAAGGUCAAGGGGGUUUCAUUAUUUCAAAUCCAAGCAAUGUGGAAGAUGUGAUUUUCUUUUCUUUCUCUGAUUAUUCAAUUUUGCUUUCGCUAAUCAGAAUUAUUUUUCUUCUAACUGCACUUGGGUUUUAGCUGUGUAUGUGCUUGUGCAAUCAUGUGUGAGGUUGAUUUCAGGAUUAACAGUAAAUAAACACUGCCUUUGUGACUGUAAUUAUGAAGCCAGAUGUGCUGACAUGAGCUGCUACAUGAUUUACAUCAGUGUCACAACAAUGCACUUUUUAAACCCAGAUUUUUGGCAGAUGGUGUUUCUGUUUGAAAUGUUUUUCAUUUCAUUCACUCUGUAUCCAAAAUUGAUGUGCCACCACCCAGUGAUUUUUGGCUG